This 807-nucleotide long non-coding RNA is filed under the name Anas platyrhynchos platyrhynchos (common mallard). RNAcentral describes it as "lncRNA (ENSAPLG00000023826.1)". The record is from RNAcentral. Lineage: Eukaryota; Metazoa; Chordata; Aves; Anseriformes; Anatidae.
UGCAGAUCAUAUUUAAAUCACAGUACUGUCAUAGAUCAAUAUUCCUCUUUGAUGAUAGGAAACGUGACAGUACUUGCACCUAGGAAAUCUGUACAUAAGAUGUGUAUAAUUUAUCUAAAAUCUUUGUCUUCAGAGAGAUGGAACAGCUUCACUUCAAUAGCUGCUGAAAAUUCCCUCAUUGUUAUCAUGUGUUCUCUGUGACUGCAGUGUAUGAUAACAAUUCAUUUUAAGAAACACCUCCUGAAUUCAAAGUGAUUCCAAUACAAAUAUUAUAAACCAGGUUCACAGAGAUUAAAAUAAUUUUUCAUAUACAGCCAGUAAUCUCUUAUUUUGACUAAAAACUUACUUGGUUUCUAUUUUUCCCUAAAAUUGGAAAAUAGAUAUCCUGUUUUCCUCUUGGUUUACAAAGAAAACUCAGUGUCGAGGGAGCUGAAGACUGGGAUGUGCUGGACUAAUAUAAAUUUAACCAAAGCCAAGAAUGCCCCUGGUUUGGCUCUGAAAAGAGUACUAAGCAGCCAAGGACAUUUGGAUAGCCAAAUCCAACCCAGUGCGGUACUCACAGUGCCAUCAAUGUGCUUUCAAAAGAAGGAAAAAAAGCAGAAAAUACAACGUUGGUCUAUAGUAUUUAUAGAAAUAUCUGCUGUUAUUUGGUGUCAGAGGUCAUGGACCAUCAUCCAUCCUGUAAGUUGGAUCAUUUAGGUAAGGUAUAUUAGAAGUCUUGGUAUGCUUUAGAAAGGAAAUGAUAAUACAUUUCCUUUCAUUUCCUAUGCAUUUCUGCAUUAUAAAAAUGCAUUUUAUACAUUUCCU